GCAGAGGACGUCAGCCAUGGAGAAUGAAUCUUCCACAGUGGAAUGAAGGGCACGGGGUGUGUGGUCUCUAGAGGAUAGGCUGGGGAUACAGAAUCCCACUGGAAAUGGGGUACGGCACACAACAUGGGUCAACUGAUAUGAGUCCUUCUAGCACACAUCUGGCAUUGCAGGCAAAAGGGACAGUAAUCACCUUAUCCUGGUCAGAGUUGUGGUGCACCUGGAGCCUAUCCCAGGAACACUGGGCAUGAGGAGACACCC
Molecule: long non-coding RNA, 258 nt
Organism: Ictalurus punctatus (channel catfish)
Lineage: Eukaryota; Metazoa; Chordata; Actinopteri; Siluriformes; Ictaluridae
Exons: 3
Source: RefSeq, a predicted model, not a curated record